AUCAAACCCCAUCUUUGAAAAAAUGAAUCUGUGGGACCAAACCUGUAUUAUCUUUCCUGUGAGCCUCCACCAACCUCAGUGAGGACCAAACCUCUCUCUUUCAUCAACAUAACUCAUUUCCAGGACCAACUGUUACCUUAUUUGGCUUGUUGUGACAGCAGAACAAGAGACUAAUCUCCAGAAGCAGCUGAUCAAUAAGAAACUGUCCAGAGGAUAAGAGCAGAAAGAGCCAGUGGUCUGGAAAACAUAAUCUGCUUGGGAAGAUUGAAUAAAUGGUGUAAUUUAAAGCAAAGAAAGUAACUAAGAAGUCCCAGGCCUACUUGAUCUUGUCCAUUUGGCACUGCUGGAGGAAUAACAAGUUUCUUCCCGUCAUGCACCUUCCUGGGAUACAUCAUGACAGAGAAAUCUCAAAGCCCAGGUCAAUUAUAACAGAAGAUGUGUAGCACCUCUGCCCCCACAGUGUCUUCUGGGGAUCCACUUGGCAAAAUGAUAUAAAACUAUUUUCGAAGACUUCCCAUGAUCUGGCACUACUUAGAACUAAGUGGCUGGCCAAAGAAAAUGGGGUGGCUUUGAUGGAGAGAAUCAGAUGUGCCUUCAGUGCAGCCCUGCUCUGGACAGCUGGUGGUUUGCAGAAGGGCAGAGGUGACAGCAGCAGAGGAGGGGACAGGCUCACAGGUCAGCACUCAGCAAGAAGAUCUGGUACAAGGCACCACCGACCAAGUCUUAAUGAUCUUUCAACAGCUGCUGUGGUUGCCUCUCUGUCCACACAACAGAAAAAUACAAUACAGAAACCUUCUACUUUGACAUUUCCAUCAGGAAUUAACUUCCCUGUAUGCCUGCCCUUUGCUAACUUCCCACUUGUGUUGAGUUUGCUUCAAAGAGUAAACAGGGAGCCGUUCCCAGAAGCACAAGCUCUCUUCAUGAAAUCCACUCUACAAGCUAAAGAGUCUUUGACAACACAGGUGGCAAGGAGGUGGGGAAAAAAGCUUCUUUGCAAGGGUCAUAUUGAUUUUUUAAUAGAAAAGAAACAGAGACAUUGUUGCACUCAAAUUUCUCCAGAGGGCAGGACGCCGGUCUGGAGUUGA
Molecule: long non-coding RNA, 1085 nt
Filed under: Ficedula albicollis (Collared flycatcher)
Lineage: Eukaryota; Metazoa; Chordata; Aves; Passeriformes; Muscicapidae
Description: lncRNA (ENSFALG00000023617.1)
Source: RNAcentral